RNAcentral lists this long non-coding RNA (219 nucleotides) under Malus domestica (apple). RNAcentral's name for it is "long non-coding RNA (MDOM_LNC004388)". The record is from RNAcentral. Lineage: Eukaryota; Viridiplantae; Streptophyta; Magnoliopsida; Rosales; Rosaceae.
GUACUUUCUCUUCUCACAUUAAUCUUCUACUUCUUAUUAGCCACACUUUUACAACGAUUGUAAAACAUAGUCACUAAUACGGAAUCAUGCAUUCAAGUAGAAGAACCAACUGUUUUGAACUAUUCAAGAACAUUUUUCAACACCUUCGAAAUGUGUGUUCUUGACACUUGCAAGACAUUUCUUGCAAAUACCCCUUCCAAUGUCCAUCAUUUCAUAAAG